Molecule: ribosomal RNA, 499 nt
Filed under: uncultured bacterium
Lineage: Bacteria
Description: partial 16S ribosomal RNA
Rfam family: Bacterial small subunit ribosomal RNA
Source: RNAcentral
GAUGAACGCUGGCGGCGUGCCUAAUACAUGCAAGUCGAGCGAACAGACGAGAGUGCUUGCAGUCUCUGGCGUUAGCGGCGGACGGGUGAGUAACACGUGGGUAACCUACCUAUAAGACUGGGAUAACUUCGGGAAACCGGAGCUAAUACUGGAUAAUAUUUAGCUUCGCAUGAAGCAAUAGUGAAAGACGGUUCUGCUGUCACCUCUCGAUGGAUCCGCGGUGUAUUAGAUUGUUGGUUAGGUAACGGCUUACCAAGGCAACGAUACAUGACCGACGGGAGAGGGGGAUGGGCCACAUUGGGACGGAGACACGGCCCAGGCUCCUACGAGAGGGCGCAGUCGCGAAUCGUACGCAGUGGAGGGAAAUAUGACGGAGUAGUGCCGCGUCAGUGAAGAAGGUGUUCGGUUCGUAAAGCUGGGUUGUAGGGGAUGAACAGGUACGUUAGUAACUGAACGUAGCUUGACGGUACUUGAUCAGAAAGCAAGGGCUAACUACGUG